Molecule: ribosomal RNA, 448 nt
Filed under: uncultured bacterium
Lineage: Bacteria
Description: bacterial SSU rRNA
Rfam family: Bacterial small subunit ribosomal RNA
Source: RNAcentral
GGCCCAGACUCCUACGGGAGGCAGCAGUGGGGAAUAUUGCACAAUGGGGGAAACCCUGAUGCAGCGACGCCGCGUGAGUGAAGAAGUAUUUCGGUAUGUAAAGCUCUAUCAGCAGGGAAGAAAAUGACGGUACCUGACUAAGAAGCCCCGGCUAACUACGUGCCAGCAGCCGCGGUAAUACGUAGGGGGCGAGCGUUAUCCGGAAUUACUGGGUGUAAAGGGAGCGUAGACGGCGAGGUAAGCCUGAAGUGGAAGCCCGCGGCCCAACCGCGGAACUGCUUUGGGAACUGUUUUGCUGGAGUAUGGGAGGGGUAAGCGGAAUUCCUGGUGUAGCGGUGAAAUGCGUAGAUAUCAGGAGGAACACCGGCGGCGAAGGCGGCCUGCUGGACCGCGACUGACGUUGAGGCUCGAAAGCGUGGGGAGCAAACAGGAUUAGAUACCCCAGUAU